GUCAGACUAGUAUGAUGAUGACGUGGAAUGAUGUCGUAGGGAAUCUGAUGACGAGCACUACUCGAAGCAUGAUCAGACGUUCAUGAUCAAGUCUAAGUAAGGAUCGAGCGAUUAGAUCCCGUCGUAGUCUAACACAACUAUGCGACUAGGAUGGCUGUUAUAGACUAGUCAGCAUCUAGGAAGUAAGUUUUGGUCGGGGGAGUAUGGAGCAAGGCGAACUAAGAAUGACGAAGGGCACACCAGGAGUGAGCCGCGCUAAUUGAUCAACACGGGGAACUCACAGGUCCAGACAUAGUAGGAAUUGACAGAUGAAGUUCUUUCUAGAUUCUAUGGGUGGUGGUGCAUGGCCGUUCUUAGUUCGUGGAGUGAUUUGUCUGGUUAAUUCCGAUAACGAACGAGCCCUUAUUUUGCUAAAUAGCCAGGUCAACUUUUUAGUUGAUUAAUAGAUUUAUCUAUCUGGCUUUUUAGAGAGACUUUGGGCUUCAAGCCGAAGGAAGUUUUAGCCAAUACCAGGUCUGUGAUGCCCUUAGAUGUUUUGGCCCGCACGCGCGCUCCACUGAGGAAGUCAGGGAGUUUAUACCCUUAGCCGGAAGGUUUGGGUAAACUUUUGAAAUUUCAUCGUGCUGGGGAUAGACCAUUGUAAUUAUUGUUCUUCAACGAGGAAUUCCUAGUAAGCCCAAGUCAUCAGCUUGCGUGGAUUACGUCCCUCCCCUUUGUCCACCCCCCCCGUCGCUACUACCGAUUGAAUGGUUAUAGUGAGCAUAUGGGACCAGUAGAAUUAGACGGGCACCAUUCUUUUUCGGCAGAGAACUAGGGCAAAUUGGGCAUAAGAGAAGGCG
RNAcentral lists this ribosomal RNA (839 nucleotides) under Mucor ramosissimus. RNAcentral's name for it is "bacterial SSU rRNA". It matches the Rfam family "Eukaryotic small subunit ribosomal RNA", at positions 788 to 1784 of the family's 1831-position model. Lineage: Eukaryota; Fungi; Mucoromycota; Mucoromycetes; Mucorales; Mucoraceae. The record is from RNAcentral.